GAAUAUGAGAGUGAUCUGGCUGUGACAUCUGUCACCCCGUUGAUCACCAGGGUUGAUUCAGCUGAUCUGACUCACUCCAUGGUUGUCCCCUUCCUCCUUCAUCACUACAUGUGCAUCCCUUCCAAAGCUGCAUGCUUCGUCAAAGAGGACGAUUUUCCCCAAAUAGAGGAGGACUACUCUUUGGUUAAGUGUAUAUAAGUAGCUGUGCUCCUCUGCCAGAAUCUCCAAACAAGCUCUCAAGGUCUUUUCUCAUUUUAUAUAACAAUCCUCA
This 271-nucleotide small nuclear RNA is filed under the name Microtus ochrogaster (prairie vole). RNAcentral describes it as "7SK RNA (ENSMOCG00000003585.1)". It matches the Rfam family "7SK RNA", at positions 1 to 277 of the family's 331-position model. From Rfam's summary of the family: 7SK was discovered as an abundant small nuclear RNA in the mid-70s but a possible function has only recently been suggested. Two independent studies have found that 7SK RNA binds the CDK9/cyclin T complex (known as elongation factor P-TEFb). The record is from RNAcentral. Lineage: Eukaryota; Metazoa; Chordata; Mammalia; Rodentia; Cricetidae.